RNAcentral lists this unclassified non-coding RNA (1434 nucleotides) under Hevea brasiliensis (rubber tree). Lineage: Eukaryota; Viridiplantae; Streptophyta; Magnoliopsida; Malpighiales; Euphorbiaceae. The record is from RNAcentral.
AAAAAAGAGUGGAAGAAAAGGCAGAUCAGAGCGAAGUCUUAGGCCAUCUAAACGUGGGACCCGGCACCGUUUCCUCCUCUAUCAAUCCAGCUAACAAUUCACGAACCCUUCCUGUGUCACGUUGGCACUCUCUAUGCCAUACCACAACCCCUUCCCUUCCUCCUCUCCCUUUCCCUAUCUUUGGCGUGAGGAUAUUAUUAAUACCCUCAUCUCCCUCUCUGCAACUUAUUUUUUAUUUUCACAUUUCCAAGAAUUUAAUUUCUUCUUAUUUAUAUAUAUGCUUCUCUACUCUUUCUCUCUUUCCAUUUUUAUAUGUUCAUAACAUACCAUGAUGACCUUUUGUAAGAAGAGCGUUCACUCUUUCUUAGGUCUCUCCACAAUUCCCAUGAAUUUUGAUGAUGAUAAUAAACAACCUUGUUCUUCCAAAUGCCUUGCUCUUUUAACUUCUGGCCUUGGCUUGACUACUGCCACUGCUGCUGAUUCUCAUAAAACUCCUAAUGUUCUUGAAUCUGCUUCUCUUGUCAAGUCUUGUUCAUCAUCGUCAUCGACCACCUCUCCUCCUCCCUCUCCUUUAAAGAAAGAUUAUCCUGGUGGGAUUGGUUUCAUUGAUGAUGUUGGUGGUGGUGUUAAUGGAUUGAUGUCUUGCACCGAGAGUUUAGGGUUUGAGAGCUCUGAUGAAAGAAGGGUAGAUGAUGAUGAUGAGAUUGAGUUGUGUUGUUCUGCUAAUAAGGUUAUUAAGUGGAGGAAGAUUGCUGAGAAAAGAGAGGUUAAAAAGUUUCCACCACUGAUUUCUUCCUUGGACCAUAAUGUUCACCCUUGUUUCUUUCUCCGACCGGUUAGAAAGGAUGGAAGACUCGAGUUGAGGGCGGUUAGGAUUGAUCGGCCGGAGAUUUUUCGUGCUCAUCGUGAAGGUGGAAGGUUGAGGUUGCAUCUUGUUGGAGAUGAAGACUCUGAUAUUAAUGAUGAAACUCGACUUCAAGAUCAAGAAUAUGAACUGUAGGAAGAAACAAAAGAAGAAAUAUGGGAGGAAGAUUAAGAAGAGACAGGUGGGGAGUGGAGGUUUCCAGUGAAUAGAGAGGGGCUUAGAAGGUGUCAUGAGUUGGUGACACACCAUCAUGAUUAUCACCACGACCGCCACGGCCAUCACCAUAACUUGCAUGUAUGGAGCCAGCAUUGCGUGACAUCUAGGUAAAGCUAGAAUGGUGAUGUGGGGGUGUGAAAAGAGACGAGAAUUAAGGUUGUGUGUGUCUGUGUACGUAUCUGCGUGUCUUUAAUUUGAGAUUCCUAGCGUGGGUAGAGACAUAACAUAAUUGAUCAUGGGAGAUCAAUAGGUUGAUUUGCCACAACCAAAUUUGGAGGAAUGGAUCGGAUAAUAGUAGAAUGACAUGCAAACGAAUCUCGGCCCCUACACCAAUUGAAAUGACCUUGUAGUUA